AGGACGAACGCUGGCGGCGUGCUUAACACAUGCAAGUCGAGCGGAAAGGCCCUUCGGGGUACUCGAGCGGCGAACGGGUGAGUAACACGUGAGUAAUCUGCCCCUAGCUCUGGGAUAGCUCCGGGAAACCGGGAUUAAUACCAGAUACGACCACUUUAGACACCUGUUGUGGUGGAAAGAAUUUUGGCUAGGGAUGAGCUCGCGGCCUAUCAGCUUGUUGGUGAGGUAACGGCUCACCAAGGCGACGACGGGUAGUCGGCCUGAGAGGGCGACCGGCCACACUGGGACUGAGACACGGCCCAGACUCCUACGGGAGGCAGCAGUGGGGAAUAUUGCGCAAUGGGCGAAAGCCUGACGCAGCGACGCCGCGUGGGGGAUGAAGGCCUCGGUUGUAAACCCUUUCAGCAGGGACGAAGCGAAAGUGACGGUACCUGCAGAAGAAGCGCCGGCUAACUAACGUGCCAGCAGCCGC
This 472-nucleotide ribosomal RNA is filed under the name uncultured bacterium. Its description in RNAcentral is "SSU rRNA". It matches the Rfam family "Bacterial small subunit ribosomal RNA", at positions 26 to 518 of the family's 1533-position model. The record is from RNAcentral.